This 753-nucleotide ribosomal RNA is filed under the name uncultured Pasteurella sp. RNAcentral describes it as "bacterial SSU rRNA". It matches the Rfam family "Bacterial small subunit ribosomal RNA", at positions 99 to 850 of the family's 1533-position model. The record is from RNAcentral. Lineage: Bacteria; Pseudomonadati; Pseudomonadota; Gammaproteobacteria; Pasteurellales; Pasteurellaceae.
CGGACGGGUGAGUAAUGCUUGGGAAUCUGGCUUAUGGAGGGGGAUAACUGUGGGAAACUGCAGCUAAUACCGCGUAUUCUCUGAGGAGGAAAGGGUGGGACCUUAGGGCCACCUGCCAUAAGAUGAGCCCAAGUGGGAUUAGGUAGUUGGUGGGGUAAAGGCCUACCAAGCCUGCGAUCUCUAGCUGGUCUGAGAGGAUGACCAGCCACACUGGAACUGAGACACGGUCCAGACUCCUACGGGAGGCAGCAGUGGGGAGUAUUGCGCAAUGGGGGGAACCCUGACGCAGCCAUGCCGCGUGAAUGAAGAAGGCCUUCGGGUUGUAAAGUUCUUUCGGUAAUGAGGAAGGGAUGUUGUUAAAUAGAUAGCAUCAUUGACGUUAAUUACAGAAGAAGCACCGGCUAACUCCGUGCCAGCAGCCGCGGUAAUACGGAGGGUGCGAGCGUUAGUCGGAAUAACUGGGCGUAAAGGGCACGCAGGCGGACUUUUAAGUGAGACGUGAAAUCCCCGAGCUUAACUUGGGAACUGCAUUUCAGACUGGGAGUCUAGAGUACUUUAGGGAGGGGUAGAAUUCCACGUGUAGCGGUGAAAUGCGUAGAGAUGUGGAGGAAUACCGAAGGCGAAGGCAGCCCCUUGGGAAUGUACUGACGCUCAUGUGCGAGAGCGUGGGGAGCAAACAGGAUUAGAUACCCUGGUAGUCCACGCUGUAAACGCUGUCGAUUUGGGGAUUGGGCUAUAUGCUUGGUGCCCGAA